RNAcentral lists this long non-coding RNA (697 nucleotides) under Struthio camelus australis. Its description in RNAcentral is "lncRNA (ENSSCUG00000012377.1)". The record is from RNAcentral. Lineage: Eukaryota; Metazoa; Chordata; Aves; Struthioniformes; Struthionidae.
CUGCUGCUGCCGCUGCCUGCAGAGAGCAGGGGCGCAGAUGGGAAGAGGCUGCAGCUGCGGGGCAGGUGCCAUCCCCCGCUGCCGCAGGAGGGGCAGCAGCCCCCUCGGGCAGCUCGCCGGCUCAGGCGGGGAUUUGGUUGUGACAGCCCAGCUCCAUGUCGGGGCAUGCAAGUCGCAGGAGGCUGCACUUGGCAGAAGCUGCUGCCAGAGAAAGGGGCCAAGGAGCAACUGAGCAUGGAUGCUUCUACAGAGGGGAUGUGGAGUGUGACACGGGAAACAACCAAGUGCCAAGAUCUUGAUCCAGCCCCAGAGCUGCUAACUGCCGAUUAUCCCAAGAUCUGUUACCAUCAGAAGCAUCAAAAAUAUUAGCUCUCCCGGAAUCACUGAGUGGCAGAAACUAGAAGCAGGGAAGAAUCGCUCUGUAUGCUCUGUUUAUGACAUUUCUUCAGCGCCUCUCAUUGGCCACUGCUGCAGAUAGGGUGUUGGACGAGAGGGACUCCAGGUCUGGAUUCACUGAGAUGAACACAAAUCCCUUUCUCUAAUUCUGUAAUCCCAAUAUUCAAGCGCUGCCAGCAAAUCUGGCCCGGGCACAAUUCUCAUUGUUGCUAUCUAUUGGAACUAUUGCUAUUAUUAUUGGAACGUCUAUGCAGAAUUUUGGAGACAAGCAGAUAUUUGCCUUUCUGUGACAUGAGUCAGC